Molecule: ribosomal RNA, 289 nt
Filed under: Azadinium spinosum
Lineage: Eukaryota; Dinophyceae; Gonyaulacales; Amphidomataceae
Description: partial 28S ribosomal RNA
Rfam family: Eukaryotic large subunit ribosomal RNA
Source: RNAcentral
UAAGUAAGCGGAGGACAAGAAACUAAACAGGAUUCCCUUAGUAAUGGCGAAUGAACAGGGAUGAGCUCAGCAUGGAAAUCGGGGUCUCCCGACCUUGAAUUGUAGUCUGUAGAUGUACUGCCAACGGAGGCGCAGAUGUAAGCCUCUUGGAAAAGAGCAUCAACGAGGGUGAGAGUCCCGUUUGUCAUCUGCAGUCCCCCGUGCACGGUGUGCCUUCUAAGAGUCACGUUCCUCGGGAUUGGAGCGCAAAGUGGGUGGUAAAUUUCAUCUAAAGCUAAAUAUUGGUUCG